UCUGCCUAGUAGUGGGGGAUAACUUGCCGAAAGGUAAGCUAAUACCGCAUACGUCCUACGGGAGAAAGCAGGGGACCUUCGGGCCUUGCGCUAUUAGAUGAGCCUAGGUCGGAUUAGUUAGUUGGUGAGGUAAUGGCUCACCAAGACAGCGAUCCGUAACUGGUCUGAGAGGAUGAUCAGUCACACUGGAACUGAACACGGUCCAGACUCCUACGGGAGGCAGCAGUGGGGAAUAUUGGACAAUGGGGGCAACCCUGAUCCAGCCAUGCCGCGUGUGUGAAGAAGGUCUUAGGAUUGUAAAGCACUUUAAGUUGGGAGGAAGAGCAGUUAACUAAUAUUUGACUGUUUUGACGUCACCGACAGGAUAAGCACCGGCUAACUUCGUGCCAGCAGCCGCGGUAAUACGAAGGGUGCGAGCGUUAAUCGGAAUUACUGGGCGUAAAGCGCGCGUAGGUGGUUCGUUAAGUUAGGAGUGAAAGCCCCCGGGCUCAACCUGGGAAUUGCUUCUGAAACUGGCGAGCUAAAGUAUUGGUAAAGGGUGGUGGAAUUUCCUGUGUAGCGGUGAAAUGCGUAGAUAUAGGAAGGAACAUCAGUGGCGAAGGCGACUUCCUGGCACAAUACUGACGCUCAUGUGCGAAAGCUAGGGUAGCGAAACGGGAUUAGAUACCCCGGUAGUCCUACCGUAAAUGAUGGAUACUA
RNAcentral lists this ribosomal RNA (699 nucleotides) under uncultured bacterium. RNAcentral's name for it is "bacterial SSU rRNA". It matches the Rfam family "Bacterial small subunit ribosomal RNA", at positions 125 to 818 of the family's 1533-position model. The record is from RNAcentral.